RNAcentral lists this ribosomal RNA (502 nucleotides) under uncultured bacterium. RNAcentral's name for it is "bacterial SSU rRNA". It matches the Rfam family "Bacterial small subunit ribosomal RNA", at positions 8 to 507 of the family's 1533-position model. The record is from RNAcentral.
AGAGUUUGAUCAUGGCUCAGAUUGAACGCUGGCGGAAUGCUUUACACAUGCAAGUCGAACGGCAGCACGGGGCAACCUGGUGGCGAGUGGCGAACGGGUGAGUAAUACAUCGGAACGUGCCCAAUCGUGGGGGAUAACGUAGCGAAAGUUACGCUAAUACCGCAUACGAUCUACGGAUGAAAGCGGGGGAUCGCAAGACCUCGCGCGAGUGGAGCGGCCGAUGUCAGAUUAGGUAGUUGGUGGGGUAAAGGCUCACCAAGCCAACGAUCUGUAGCUGGUCUGAGAGGACGACCAGCCACACUGGAACUGAGACACGGUCCAGACUCCUACGGGAGGCAGCAGUGGGGAAUUUUGGACGAUGGGCGCAAGCCUGAUCCAGCCAUUCCGCGUGCAGGAUGAAGGCCUUCGGGUUGUAAACUGCUUUUGUACGGAACGAAACGGCGAGCUCUAAUACAGUUUGCUAAUGACGGUACCGUAAGAAUAAGCACCGGCUAACUACGUG